UUUGCUUGGCUCGUCAGUUCGUCGGCAGCGUUUGAAAGAGUCGGUCGAUUAGUUGGCUGCGUUCUGGCGGUAGAGCGCACAGGUGAGAGUUCGGAGCGCAGGGGCGUUUAAAGCUGCGCGCGCCCAAUACAACGAAAGAAACGGUCGGUCAGGUGUACGAGUAUCUGUGUGCGAAUCGUUGGUAACAGCCGGCCACUGAGUGUCACCAUGAUGCACAAAUUGAAAUACCGCGAUAAAUUAAAAUGGCUUCUAGCGCUUCUUGUGCUGAUCAGCAUUUGUUUUAUGCAGACAAAGGGACAGACAAGAGACCCCAGGUUUUAUUCCCGCCCGGGCGUUGACUACCAUUGGCCAAAUCCAGGGGAUCCAGAUUACAGAACUUACACGUUCAACGAUCGCCGAUAUGGUCACUAUCAGCCCAAUGGCUAUGGAGCCAAUUAUCCGGGCAGAAAUCCACCUGGCCAAUAUCCACAGGGAAUGCCGAAUGAAGAUCGCUUUCGAUUCGAUCCGAACGAUCCGAAUGCUCGGACCCAGUUUCCGGGAGUGUUGGCCGGAUGGCGAGAGGACUUGCAGGGCAAGCAGCGCCGGGAUUCGUUGACCCUGGAACGGGAUGUAUUCGUGACCACAAACUAUGGCCAGGUGCAGGGCUUCAAGGCGUACAUGUACGACAACCCAGACCCCAAGUCCUUCUAUCGUCCCUAUCAUUCGACCGUGGACCGUGUGAUGGGCGAGUGUUCGGUGUUCCUGGGUAUUCCCUACGCCCUGCCGCCCACUUUCGAGGGUAGGUUCAAGCCACCCCGCGUCCAUCGAGGCUGGCAGCUGCUCCAGGCCGUCGACUUUGGACCCGCCUGUCCCCAGCCUGUGCGGUAUACGGGAGCCACAAAGGGAGUCAUGGACAUGGAUGAGGAUUGCCUCUACUUGAACGUGUAUUCGCCGAAGACUGGGGCUGGUGUGGCCCAAAAGUACCCUGUAAUGGUGUAUAUCCAUGGUGGCGAGUUCAUCCGUGGAGCCUCCAACCUAUUCCAGGGCCAUAUUCUGGCCUCGUUCUACGACGUGGUGGUGGUGACCCUGAACUACCGCCUUGGUGCUCUGGGAUUCCUUUCCACUGGUGAUGAGAACUCGCCCGGGAACUAUGGAAUCCUCGAUCAGGCGAUGGCGCUGCGUUGGAUCCAUGACAAUAUUGAGUUCUUCAACGGUGACCGGAAUGCCAUCACUCUAUUUGGUCCGGGAGCGGGAGGCGCCUCGGCUGGUCUCCUGAUGGUGGCACCAAAGACGCGGAACAUUGUGCGGCGUGUGAUCGCACAGUCCGGAUCGGCUCUAGCGGAUUGGGCUCUGAUCCAGGACAAGUAUCGCGCUCAAAACACGAGUCGCGUGCUGGGACAGCUACUGGGCUGCUCCAUCGAAUCCUCAUGGAAGUUGGUCAACUGCCUGCGCACUGGACGCAGUUUCUACGAGCUGGGAAACGCCGAGUUCUCUCCCCAGGUGGGUAGCUUUCCAUGGGGUCCAGUUCUGGACCACAACUUUACGUUGCCCGGCGACGAUUGGUACGAGGGAUGGCGCGAAAAGGACUGGCGUUUCCUCACCCAAACUCCGGAAACCCUAAUCCGGGCAGGUAAAUUCAACCGGAAUAUUCAGUACAUGACGGGGGUGACCACACAGGAAGCGGCCUUUUUUGUGGCCCAAAACGAAUCUUUAAGUCCUUACUAUGAACUAGAUGGACGCUUCUUUGAUCAGAAAAUAAGGGAACACGUUUUCCGCUACAACUAUACCCUUAAUCCGAACGGAGUUUACGAGGCUAUCAAGUACAUGUACACCUUCUGGCCGGAUCCCAAUAAUAACACCAUAAUCCGGGACCAGUACAUCAACAUGCUGAGUGACCUGUACUACCGAGCACCAGUGGACCAGAUGGUCAAGCUGAUGUUGGAGCAGAAGGUACCGGUCUAUAUGUACGUACUGAACACCACCGUGGAGGCACUAAAUCUGCCACAGUGGCGGAAGUAUCCACACGACACCGAGCGUUAUUUCCUUACCGGCGCGCCCUUUAUGGACACCGAAUUCUUUCCCAAAAAGGAGCACCUGCAGCGCAACAUGUGGACGGAUAAUGAUCGCAAUAUGAGCCACUUUUUCAUGCAGACCUACUCGAAUUUUGCCAGAUAUGGCAAUCCGACGCCACAACAGGUGCUAGGCAUGCAUUUCCAGAGAGCCUAUCAGGGAGAGAUUCGGUACUUGAACAUCAACACCACUUACAACUCCUCCAUCCUGCUCAAUUAUCGGCAGACGGAGUGCGCCUUCUGGACGCAGUACUUGCCCACAGUUAUCGGCGUGCUGGUGCCCACCUAUCCACCCACAACGGAGUACUGGUGGGAGCCCAAGGAGCCGCUGCAGAUCGCCUUCUGGAGCAUGUCCGUGACCUGUUUCUUCCUUAUUGUCUUGGUGGUCAUCUGCUGCAUCAUGUGGCGCAAUGCCAAGCGCCAAUCGGAUCGCUUCUACGACGAAGAUGUCUUUAUCAAUGGUGAGGGCUUAGAACCGGAAGCGGAUACGCGUGGAGUCGACAAUGCCCAUAUGGUGACCAACCACCAUGCCCUGCGCUCUAGGGAUAAUAUCUACGAGUACCGGGACUCUCCAUCCUCCAAAACCCUGGCCAGCAAGGCGCACACGGACACCACCUCGUUGCGCUCACCCAGCUCGCUGGCCAUGACCCAAAAGUCCAGCAGCCAGGCGUCCCUUAAAUCCGGGAUCUCGCUCAAAGAAACCAAUGGUCAUUUGGUGAAGCAAGCUGAAAGGGCAGCCACGCCACGAUCCCAGCAAAAUGGUUCGACGGCAAAGGUGGCGGCUCCAGUGGAAGAGAAGCGUCUGCUGCAGCCACUUUCCAGCACGCCCGUGACGCAGUUGCAGGCGGAGCCGGCUAAAAGGGUUCCCACCGCCGCCAGUGUCUCGGGCAGCAGUCGGAGCACCACUCCCGUGCCCUCUGCCCGAAGCACCGUACACACCACAACAGCCACCUUGAGUUCCCAGCCAGCGGCUCAGCCGAGGAGAACCCAGCUGGUGGAAGGAGUGCCUCAGACUUCCGUAUAAGUAACCGCUCUCUAAGCGCAGGAUGCGCUUAGGGAGUCCGCCGAAUCGUCCAAUUACAGAGCCAAUCAACAAUCCAGAAGGAAGAACACCAGUUCCUCCCGGGAUUUUAAUUAAAGUAAGUUAGUUAUUUCCGAAAAAUGUACGUUUUAUUUUGUAUUUAUACUAGGUUUUUAAACAGAUCUUUGAGAUCUCAGUUUUGAGUUAUAUUUAGGAAAACCUGUAUUUCUUAUGCCUUACUUUAAAUUUACUUGUUCGUAAGUUUGAUAACCCAACGAAUACAAAUCCAUAUCAAUGACAUUCCAUAGCCUUAUAAUCGGCCUUCACGUGUAUAUACAUAUAUAAUUUUAAUGUACAAUACGAAAUAUUUUAAUAUAGGAAAUAUAAUGAAAACUAAAAAUCUUUUUUGUAACAAAUAUUGAGCUUAACUUUUACUAAACUCCCUUUUAGUGGUAGUAAUAUCGAAUGAAAUUUACAUAAGAGCAUACAUAUUAUUUGAAUUAUUAUAGAAAGAAAUAAAUUAACGUUAUUAAAAAUAAUGCAUUACAUUAUUUAAAACCUGCUAUUUUAUAAUACAAAAUUCAUAACAUUGUCGCGUUCCAUAUCAUAAGAAUAUCAUGUUAACCAUUAGAUCCUAGCCACUCCCACACAUCAUCAAGAGCAAUACCUACAGUGCCUUAAAAUCUGGUAAUUGUCUCCGAUGGACGCAUCACUAGUUCUUAACGAACAGUGUCCCUUAUCCAUGUACCCACUAAGUGUGCCUUUCAUACAUACAUAAAUGUACUCCUAGUAAUAUACUUUCUAUAUGUUUUGUGUGUCGCAUAUAAGCAAAAUGACCAUACAAAAUCAGUGUGAACCGUCCAAUAACUUUAUGUUUUUAAAAGUAUCGUGUACAUUGUCUUUUUGUAUAUAUCUUCAUGUGUUACACGAUGGAAAGCAUAAUGUUUUAAACACA
Molecule: unclassified non-coding RNA, 4024 nt
Filed under: Drosophila yakuba
Lineage: Eukaryota; Metazoa; Arthropoda; Insecta; Diptera; Drosophilidae
Description: GE19390
Source: RNAcentral